CCACGGGGGGCUGCAGUGGGGAAUAUUGGACAAUGGGCGAAAGCCUGAUCCAGCCAUACCGCGUGUGUGAAGAAGGCCUUCGGGUUGUAAAGCACUUUCAGUGGGGAAGAAAGCCUUGGGGCUAAUACCCUCGAGGAAGGACAUCACCCACAGAAGAAGCACCGGCUAACUCCGUGCCAGCAGCCGCGGUAAUACGGAGGGUGCGAGCGUUAAUCGGAAUUACUGGGCGUAAAGCGCGCGUAGGCGGUCUGAUAAGCCGGUUGUGAAAGCCCCGGGCUCAACCUGGGAACGGCAUCCGGAACUGUCAGGCUAGAGUGCAGGAGAGGAAGGUAGAAUUCCCGGUGUAGCAGUGAAAUGCGUAGAGAUCGGGAGGAAUACCAGUGGCGAAGGCGGCCUUCUGGACUGACACUGACGCUGAGGUGCGAAAGCGUGGGUAGCAAACAGGAUUAGAUACCCGAGUAGUC
Molecule: ribosomal RNA, 464 nt
Filed under: Vreelandella stevensii
Lineage: Bacteria; Pseudomonadati; Pseudomonadota; Gammaproteobacteria; Oceanospirillales; Halomonadaceae
Description: partial 16S ribosomal RNA
Rfam family: Bacterial small subunit ribosomal RNA
Source: RNAcentral